GCCGAUGUAGUUUAGUGGUAGAACAGCAGCUUCCCAAGCUGCGAGUGCGGGUUCGAUUCCCGUCAUCGGCUC
Molecule: transfer RNA, 72 nt
Filed under: Gordonia spumicola
Lineage: Bacteria; Bacillati; Actinomycetota; Actinomycetes; Mycobacteriales; Gordoniaceae
Description: tRNA-Gly
Rfam family: tRNA
About the family: Transfer RNA (tRNA) molecules are approximately 80 nucleotides in length. Their secondary structure includes four short double-helical elements and three loops (D, anti-codon, and T loops).
Source: RNAcentral